UACGAAGGGGGCUAGCGUUGCUCGGAAUUACUGGGCGUAAAGGGAGCGUAGGCGGACAGCUAAGUCAGAGGUGAAAGCCCAGGGCUCAACCCUGGAAUUGCCUUUGAUACUGGUUGUCUUGAGUAUGGGAGAGGUGUGUGGAACUCCGAGUGUAGAGGUGAAAUUCGUAGAUAUUCGGAAGAACACCAGUGGCGAAGGCGACACACUGGCCCAUUACUGACGCUGAGGUGCGAAAGCGUGGGGAGCAAACAGG
This 253-nucleotide ribosomal RNA is filed under the name uncultured bacterium. RNAcentral's name for it is "partial 16S ribosomal RNA". It matches the Rfam family "Bacterial small subunit ribosomal RNA", at positions 524 to 776 of the family's 1533-position model. The record is from RNAcentral.